GAUGGGUGUGGUGGCGGGUGCCUGUAAUUCCAGCUACUCGGGAGGCGGAGGCGUGAGACUCGCUUGAACCCGGGAGGCGGAGGUUGCAGUGAGCCGAGACGGCGCCACUGUACUCCAGCCUGGGUGACAGAGCGAGACUACGUCUCCAUUUUUUUAAAAAGGGGGUGAAUUUAAUUGUAUGUGAAUUAUAUCUCAACUUUUUUUUUUUUUUUUGAGAUGGAGUCUCGCCCUGUCCCCCCGGCUGGAGUGCAGUGGUGCCAUCUCGGCUCACCGGUGGGCAACCCCUGCCUCCCGGGUUCAAGCGAGUCUCACGCCUCCG
This 319-nucleotide non-coding RNA is filed under the name Macaca fascicularis (crab-eating macaque). Lineage: Eukaryota; Metazoa; Chordata; Mammalia; Primates; Cercopithecidae. The record is from Rfam by way of RNAcentral.